CAACCUGGUUAAACGCUCUAUAAGCCCCCUUCUCCACAUCCUCUAAACAAGUCUCGUGUUUAUCUUUACUCAAACCAUGUGCCUUAAACAAGUUUCUGCUUCGUUUGUAGCCGUUCACAAAGAUGCUGGAUGUUGCAUCUCGUCCAGGGAAUUCCGGACACGGCUGGAAAAUAAAGGAAAUGGUUUGUCCCUGUUUUUUUUUUUUCUUCGCCUUUGGAAUUUGUAAUGCGGCUCUGGGAGAAGGUUGAAGGGUGCGGAAUGAGGGAACAUAUGGUAUUGUCCCCUAUUUUCAGAAGAAGUAGUUUUCAACAGGAUGCGUCAGCUUUUGCAUUUGCCUUGUCAACUGUUCUAAAAAUAUCCCAAGACUGAAUUCCACAGAGCAAGCAGUGCUGACGGACGCUUCGGACACAGGCCUGGGCGCCG
Polypterus senegalus (gray bichir) is the source of this 423-nucleotide long non-coding RNA. RefSeq lists it as uncharacterized. The transcript has 3 exons. Lineage: Eukaryota; Metazoa; Chordata; Cladistia; Polypteriformes; Polypteridae. The record is from RefSeq and is a predicted model, not a curated record.